Molecule: long non-coding RNA, 2168 nt
Organism: Oryza brachyantha (malo sina)
Lineage: Eukaryota; Viridiplantae; Streptophyta; Magnoliopsida; Poales; Poaceae
Exons: 4
Source: RefSeq, a predicted model, not a curated record
CCUCCGAUCGUGUUGCUUGCUGGUUCCUUCUUCGUUUGUAUGGGUUGUGAGCUGCGUGCAUGGUGCAUGGUUUGCCUGCUUUCUUCUUCCAUGUGCUGUAGACCUGUAGCCCUGCCCUGUCAGAGUCCUUGUGGGUGUUGCGUGUCCAAGCUGCUAGGCUCUCUCAUCACCCCUCCCUCUCGGUGCGUCCGAGGCGUAGCUCGUGCUGCUGCGCGGCCUCGUCGGGGGGAGCUCGGCCAUCUGCGCGGCCUCGCUGGGAGGGCCUCGGAGCGACGACGCGGUCCACUAAAGCAUGCGCUAAUCCUCCGUCCAUCUUCGUUUGUCUCUCUCACUCCCUCAUCUUCGUCUGCUCAGGGCGGUCGGGGCCGGGGGAGUGUGGAGCUCCGUGUAGAACGACGGCUGGGGGCAGAGCUCGGCAUGACGACCGCGGGGGAGCACGGGACGACGACGGGCGAAGCUCUGCGCGGCGGCUGCGAGCUGAUGGUCGUCGAAAGCACACCUGCAUAGGGGCACCUCCAUCUGGACUGGACUGGUACGUUUGGUUCUUGCUUCGUACUCGAAUCAUGGUAAAUUAGAUGUUGGUGAAGUGCCAGUAGUGGUCGGCUUAUUACCCAGCAAAGAUUUGCUUUUUCAGCUUUAUGCAUCAAGGGAGCAUCCACAACUUCAGACAACAUGUCUACCUAUUUACUUGUGUAUGCUUUUGAUGUCCAAUUUAUGAAGUGGCUUGUUUAUUAUUUACUAUGUGAUACGAGCUGAAAUGAUGGUCUAAUCUGUUUGCUAUUAUCCACAUCUUAUAAUAUGUAUUAUUUACUAUAGAUAUUUAUCAAUUUAUUGCCCUGCAUUCCUAUUAUAUGUCUGCAGACUUAUUGAUUUGUUUGCUUACACUUUAUGAAUGAUGUUAUUAAAAUAAUCUGGCCAAUCAUAUUACAAGGUUUGGGUUAUCUCAUAGCAUUUACUUUGCGGUAGGUUUAUUCUUGUGCAACCCCAUGGUUAAGAUAACUGGUUUCGGGUUGUCUAUCACAAUUUAUGUUGCAUGGUUUUUUCUGGCUCCUGUUUAUUCUUAUACUUUUAUAAAUCUGGAUUACAUGAAGUAAAUGAUAUAACUACAUUUCUAAAAUGCACAUGAUGCUCAUACUUUAGUUAAAUUUAUUGACUAUCCUAAAGGAAUUAAUCUACAUUUUUAGAUGGAACAUUAUUAAUUAGCAUUACUUGAAAGCUAAUUCAUGUGGCUCACUUUUAGUUGUAGAAAUCACACAUAUUACCAUGGCCAUUGAUCAUACUAGAUUGGAAUGCCUCAUUUUUAAUUGUCUUGACCUGGGUGGAUGUGGGCUGCAAUCUGCGGUAAGUCCUAUGAAUUCUAACUGGGACUACACUUCUCAUGUUUACUCCGUAAAUUAUUCAUGAGCUUGAUUUUAUACAUUAUUGCCUCUCAAUCAAAUUAUGUGUGGAUACAGGUAGAGUAUUUUACCAUGGCUUUCGCUCAAUCAAAUUAAGUAUAUAUGUAUCCUAUAAUCAAUUGAGGAUCCUGUUGGUUAAUUGGUAAGUGUGGUGGUGAACUUAGAUCAGUACAUCUGAACAUCAACACUAAUUUUAUUGUUUUUCUUUUAGGACAGAUAUAUUUUCUGUUUGGAAUUCAAACUAGAAGGUGAUGUAAGAAAAUUUUGAGAUCCCUCUCCCAAUUCAGAGUUACAGGUUCUUUCCUUUUUGAUAAUUAAUGAAUAAACUACCCUGACUAUUUGCUUGCCCCCUAAAGAAUGAAACCUAUGUUUCAUCUGAAUAGAAUUAUGCAUACUUCUUCCAUGUACCGAUUAUUUAUACUUAAGGUGAUAACAAUUAUUUACCUAUCUGACAAUUACCUCUGAAUUUAUUUCUCUAUGUUUUAAUAAUAGCUGAAUUGUGUCCUCCCUCAUCUAGACUACUUUCAGAUGAUAAAGGGGAAUUGAUGGAGUUAUAACACCUUCAGGUCCAUUAACUCGGCUAACUAAAUUGGUGGAGAGGUGCUAUGCUCAUGUUAAGAUGGCAAAUGUGAACAACUAUACACCAGCAAGCAAAGGAUCCCAGACUCCUCCAAGAAAGACAAGCUUUUGAACCAAUGGUUUCGAUCACGCUCUAACAUGUACGAGAGGAGUUGAUGCAAGCACAUCAAAAAAAUGUAUGUUUUUAUCCAA